Molecule: ribosomal RNA, 253 nt
Filed under: uncultured bacterium
Lineage: Bacteria
Description: partial 16S ribosomal RNA
Rfam family: Bacterial small subunit ribosomal RNA
Source: RNAcentral
UACGUAGGAGGCGAGCGUUGUCCGGAGUUACUGGGCGUAAAGGGUGCGUAGGCGGCGCGGUAAGUCGGGUGUGAAAUCUCGGAGCUUAACUCCGAAACUGCAUUCGAUACUGCCGUGCUUGAGGACUGGAGAGGAGACUGGAAUUUACGGUGUAGCGGUGAAAUGCGUAGAUAUCGUAAGGAAGACCAGUGGCGAAGGCGGGUCUCUGGACAGUUCCUGACGCUGAGGCACGAAGGUCAGGGGAGCAAACGGG